Paramisgurnus dabryanus is the source of this 555-nucleotide long non-coding RNA. RefSeq lists it as uncharacterized. The record is from RefSeq and is a predicted model, not a curated record. Lineage: Eukaryota; Metazoa; Chordata; Actinopteri; Cypriniformes; Cobitidae.
CAGGAGUUAAGGCAGAUGUGGAGGCACAACGGGUGACACCAGACACACACCAAGCACAUUAUGUUCGGACAUUCAAUCAUGACAGGAUCCAUGUGGAUGCUGUCCAUUGAGGAAAGAGUUUGUUCAGCGGUUUCUGGAUAGAAUUAAUUCCAAAGAUGGGAAAAAGUGCACAUCCAGACAAGGAGCAAGCAAAAAGACAAGGAACUUGGUGCAGAGAAAAGCUGUGGCCAUUAACCCCCAUGUGAACAGCUUCAUGCAGUCCCUGAUUGAGUUCGAAUGGACGACUUCAAAGUAAAGGCCACUGUGGUCUGUCUGCCACAGUUUAAUGCAUUUAUUUUUAGUGUUAAAUGAAAUUUAAGUAGAAUAUUUAAAACUAUGGGCCAGUGUUCUUUUUACCACAGUGAAAUGUUACCUUUUAGUCGAUGAUGGACUUUAAACUGAAAACUUCAAACUAUGGAACAGUGUUCUAUUUGCCAGAGUUAAAUAUGUUACAGCAGGGGUCUCCAAACUUGUUUAUACUUGUUGAUUUUAUUUUAUGUUACUUGAUUUUAUGUU